ACUAUAUAUAUAAAAUUUAUUAAAUAAAAAUUAUUGUUUAAAUAUACAUUCAUAUUUAAGAAUAUUUUAUAAGUUUAAUUUAAAAAAUAUGGUUAAUGUACAAAUAAUCCUCGAUUUUUAUGAGGUUCAGUAUGAAUCCUGAGGUUGUAAGUCAAAGUGGUCAGAAGUCAGAAAUUCCCAAAAUUUAUGGAUUGCCUACUAAAGUGAAGUGUAAUAUGUCUUAUUACACUUCACUUUAUCACAAUAAACUUAAUAUGCACAAAAAUACAAGAAUCAGACAUAAAAAAAGAGGUUUUCUGUAUAUCAAAUUAUUGUUUAUAGACUCACUCAUAUGAAUUGCAUUCACUAAUCAGAC
This 355-nucleotide long non-coding RNA is filed under the name Androctonus crassicauda. Lineage: Eukaryota; Metazoa; Arthropoda; Arachnida; Scorpiones; Buthidae. The record is from RNAcentral.